This 105-nucleotide small RNA is filed under the name Salmonella enterica. RNAcentral describes it as "partial RtT sRNA". It matches the Rfam family "RtT RNA", at positions 1 to 101 of the family's 130-position model. Rfam says of the family: This family represents a bacterial cis-regulatory element known as RtT RNA. The exact function of RtT is unknown although it is thought that it may be involved in changing the cellular response in relation to amino acid starvation. Lineage: Bacteria; Pseudomonadati; Pseudomonadota; Gammaproteobacteria; Enterobacterales; Enterobacteriaceae. RNAcentral also lists the same sequence under 2 other names. The record is from RNAcentral.
UGUAUCGGAAGCCUGACGAGGAUGAGAACCUCCGGGGGCAAGAGGUUCGACUCGAGCGCAGCGAGAGAACGUUGCGUCAGCAACGGCCCGCAGGGCGAGCCACGC